RNAcentral lists this transfer RNA (60 nucleotides) under Candidatus Thioglobus sp. RNAcentral's name for it is "tRNA-Gly". It matches the Rfam family "tRNA", at positions 7 to 64 of the family's 71-position model. Rfam says of the family: Transfer RNA (tRNA) molecules are approximately 80 nucleotides in length. The record is from RNAcentral. Lineage: Bacteria; Pseudomonadati; Pseudomonadota; Gammaproteobacteria; Pseudothioglobaceae (SeqCode).
AUAGCUCAGCUGGUAGAGCGCAACCUUGCCAAGGUUGAGGUCGCGAGUUCGAGUCUCGUU